RNAcentral lists this ribosomal RNA (440 nucleotides) under uncultured bacterium. RNAcentral's name for it is "partial 16S ribosomal RNA". It matches the Rfam family "Bacterial small subunit ribosomal RNA", at positions 338 to 795 of the family's 1533-position model. The record is from RNAcentral.
CCUACGGGAGGCAGCAGUGGGGAAUAUUGCACAAUGGGCGAAAGCCUGAUGCAGCGACGCCGCGUGAGGGAAGAAGGUUUUCGGUAUGUAAAACUCUAUCAGCAGGGAAGAAAAUGCCGGUACCUGACUAAGAAGCCCCCGCUAAAUACGGUCCAGCAGCCGCGGUCAUACGUCGGGCGCCAGCGUUCUCCGGAUUUACGGGGUGUAAAGGGAGCGUAGGUGGUUUUGCAAGUCAGAAGUGAAAGCCUGGGGUUCAAAUCCGGGAUUGCUUUUGAAACUGUUGAACUAGAUUGCAGGAGAGGUAAGUGGAAUUCCGAGUGUAGCGGUGAAAUGCGUAGAUAUUAGGAGGAACACCAGUGGCGAAGGCGGCUUACUGGACUGUAAAUGACGCUGAGGCUCGAAAGCGUGGGGAGCAAACAGGAUUAGAUACCCGUGUAGUC